AGCCCUUUCCCUAUACUAUCUUACUUCCUAUUUCUGUGGUUUAUGAAAAAUUGCAGUAAAUUGCUAAUAAAUUGCUUACGUCAUUGUUGCUCCCGGGUCAGCAGUCAUCUGGUUAGUUACAAACACAGCCACAUUAUAUUCUGCAGUGAAAACAAGGUCCAAGGGAAGAUGAUAAAUAUAAAGAGAAAAUUCAUUAUGUUUCCUCCUAGAAUGUUUUUAAGCAUUUCUAGUAAUAAAUGGUGAACUAUGCUUAUUAAAGUUCCCGUAAUAUUGAAAAAUAUUAACUGCGUUUUAAUCACCUAUCACAUUUUUGUUACAUUUUAUGGUGGAGUGGAGGUGUGAAAUACAUUUCCCACAACCAAACUUGACACUUAUCUACUACACUAUACUUGCUCUCCUGGCAGUAUAUUAUUUGGUGAAAAUGCCGGUGCUUAAAGAAGAAGAAGAAAAAAGAUAAUAGCCUUGGGCUACACUAACAGUUAUUUUUCAGUCAUCUAAAAGCAUGGUAUUCUGCCUUACAUGCUUCUCAUACCUUCUGAUAUUUUUUGAAGCCUUGACAGCAUCUGAGCAAGCUUCUGUUGCCUUUCAGCCAGUUCCCCCCGACCACUGAAGUCCACGCGGAAUAGCGCCAUAAUGGAAUCGAUUACCUGCAAAGAAAUAGUAGAGAGGGAGGGGAUGUGAAAGGAUAAAAAAUUACUUGGAAAACAUUCAAGAUAUAUAAAUGAACAGCACAAUCUUA
Long non-coding RNA from Podarcis raffonei (Aeolian wall lizard), 739 nucleotides. RefSeq lists it as uncharacterized. The transcript is spliced from 2 exons. The record is from RefSeq and is a predicted model, not a curated record. Lineage: Eukaryota; Metazoa; Chordata; Lepidosauria; Squamata; Lacertidae.